Molecule: ribosomal RNA, 400 nt
Filed under: uncultured Glomeromycotina
Lineage: Eukaryota; Fungi; Glomeromycota
Description: SSU rRNA
Rfam family: Eukaryotic small subunit ribosomal RNA
Source: RNAcentral
AGCAGCCGCGGUAAAUUCCAGCUCCAAUAGCGUAUAUUAAAGUUGUUGCAGUUAAAAAGCUCGUAGUUGAAUUUCGGGAUCAGUACGCUGGUCGUGCCUUCGGUAUGCACUGGUGUCACAGGUUCCUACCUUCUGAAGAACCAUCAUGCCUUUCAGUUGGUGUGGCGGGGAAUCAGGACUGUUACUUUGAAAAAAUUAGAGUGUUUAAAGCAGGCUCGCGCUUGAAUACAUUAGCAUGGAAUAAUGAAAUAGGACGUUUGACCCUAUUUUGUUGGUUUCUGGGAUCGACGUAAUGAUUAAUAGGGAUAGUUGGGGGCAUUAGUAUUCAAUUGUCAGAGGUGAAAUUCUUGGAUUUAUUGAGGACCAACUACUGCGAAAGCAUUUGCCAAGGAUGUUUUCU